GCGGGCGUGGCGGAAUGGUAGACGCUGCAGACUUAAAAUCUGUUGUCCGUAUGGACGUGGGGGUUCAAGUCCCCCCGCCCGCACCA
Molecule: transfer RNA, 86 nt
Filed under: Micavibrio sp.
Lineage: Bacteria; Pseudomonadati; Bdellovibrionota; Bdellovibrionia; Bdellovibrionales; Pseudobdellovibrionaceae
Description: tRNA-Leu
Rfam family: tRNA
About the family: Transfer RNA (tRNA) molecules are approximately 80 nucleotides in length. Their secondary structure includes four short double-helical elements and three loops (D, anti-codon, and T loops).
Source: RNAcentral